This 492-nucleotide ribosomal RNA is filed under the name uncultured bacterium. RNAcentral describes it as "bacterial SSU rRNA". It matches the Rfam family "Bacterial small subunit ribosomal RNA", at positions 35 to 518 of the family's 1533-position model. The record is from RNAcentral.
UGAACGGCUGGCGGCGUGCUUAACACAUGCAAGUCGAACGGAGUACUUACGCUGACAAAGCUUCGGCAGAGUCUUGUAAGUACUUAGUGGCGGACGGGUGAGUAACGCGUGGGUAACCUGCCUUAUACCGGGGGAUAACGUCUGGAAACGGACGCUAAUACCGCAUAAGCGCACGAUGAGGCAUCUUGUUGUGUGAAAAACUCCGGUGGUAUAAGAUGGACCCGCGUCUGAUUAGAUAGUUGGUGAGGUAACGGCCCACCAAGUCAACGAUCAGUAGCCGGCCUGAGAGGGUGAACGGCCACAUUGGGACUGAGACACGGCCCAAACUCCUACGGGAGGCAGCAGUGGGGAAUAUUGCACAAUGGGGGAAACCCUGAUGCCAGCGACGCCGCGUGAGUGAAGAAGUAUUUCGGUAUGUAAAGCUCUAUCAGCAGGGAAGAAAAUGACGGUACCUGAGUAAGAAGCCCCGGCUAACUACGUGCCAGCCGCAGC